Bombus terrestris (buff-tailed bumblebee) is the source of this 4052-nucleotide long non-coding RNA. RefSeq lists it as uncharacterized. The transcript is spliced from 4 exons. The record is from RefSeq and is a predicted model, not a curated record. Lineage: Eukaryota; Metazoa; Arthropoda; Insecta; Hymenoptera; Apidae.
GACAAUCUUUUGUGUGAAAAUUUUCGCUUGAUUUGGGGUUAGGUUAUUUUCGUUAUGCAACAGAAACAUUCCCCUCUCCUGCCCUCUUGCUGAACGAGAAAAAAGGUAAUCGUCAACGAUCCUGUUCCUCACCUUCUCGCUAACUGCUGCUCCCGAAGACCAAAUUGGCGUCGAAUUAAAAUUUAAAUGCCACGUAUAUUCACGUCGUAUACACGACUGGUUUAUGGCUGAUUUGAAUAUUCGCUGAGGAUAGAGACGGAGAAUCUCUCUCGGUGCAGUUCUGUAAACUUCUCUGAAUCAACGAACGCGCAUCCAUUUGACUAAUUAGCAUACGUUUAGACUAAAAGCGACUGACAAUUCGAGUUUCAAAGACGUAGAAUGUUCGUCGCCAGCCUAUCGAAGAACCACAUUGGCUGACGAAAGGAUUCGUAUAUUUAUCGACGCUACUUUUAUGAACAUGUUACGUGUGUCAUACGAUGCAUUUUGAAAUUUCAGUAGCGCCGCAACGAUAGCCAACCAUUAUAACGACAUUGGUAAAACCUUAAACGAUUCUUGAAAUGUAUAGAAAAGUUGUAAGGUAUUUAGUAGAAAUAUACAUUUUUCAUUUGCCGAUUUUGAAUUUUCAAUAACUAAGAAACAAAUUAUUCCGGUUUCAAGAAUCAGCCCUUAAAUUUUCUGGCACCUGUAGUUGAACAUCCUGUAUAUUUAGCAAAGAUGACAGAGGCAUUUAAACAGGCAAGCGUAUUCGAUGAUAUCAUAUUUAAUAAUAUUAUGGCCAAGGUUACCAUUCAUAUUGUGUAUUAAUUUUUUCAUCGAAUAAAAGCAUGCAGUAGGUACCUCGUAACUUUGUAUAUAUUUUCAGAUAAGGUCCAAAUUUUGCCAAUAUAAUCUUGACAGUGGCAUGUCAUUAUAGUGCUAAUGAAAUUUCAAAACCUUUUAUAUAACACGCACGAAAAUUUACUUUAUUUGACAUAAAUACUUUUGCGAGCCACUGUACGUACGAGUGGCAAUAAAUUCUCUGGGCUAUAACAGACCCUGUCGAACUGGUUCCAGCGUUAUCUUGUCAUUUAGGUUUCUCAUUCCGGCCGAAAGUUGAGUCAACUUCCUCUCAAUUGCGCAAUCGUCUUUAUCGUUAAUAGGUCUGUCAAUACGUUUUUUCUCUUUUUAACAAAGUUCACGAUUAUAACGUUGACCAUAAACGGGUGAGACCUCUUCAUAAAGAGAACGUUCUGCCGCUUUGUUCGUGCGUACCAUUUUCCACGGACCAUUUACCUACAACUUUUCGAUGUCGCUCAAUUAACGCUGAUCCUCUUGUAGGAUUACAACUUCGACUCCUGAUCGACCGUAUUUCACAACUGAACAGUGUUUGGCUUUCAUGUUGAAGAGCGAUGCCCAGGGCCAUUGUCCUGCAGGUUACCAACUGUUAUUGCAGUAGUUUGCGUGGUAACAACUGUAAUUCAAACACAACACGCUCAUAGUCACGAAGAUGUUUUGUUAAGGUUCCAUAUGGGUUUCUGUUCUAUGCGUUUUCGGAAUUAUGCCAUUAGACGUGAUGUUAAAGUUCCUAGAGACCUCGUCGUUGACACCAACGCCGGAGAAACUACAACUUACGUUUUGUUGGGUUUAACAGAAAGUUUUUGUUCGAUUUUCCUAGAUGGAUACGAGUUUAACAUCAACCUUACCAGGCUCGAUCAAAUGGCCGGUUUUAAAAUUUAAUUUAAAAUUGAACACCCAUUGUUAUUUCUUUUGCUCAUCCAACUUUAUGUAAAUUCUUACAUUAACAAAAAUUUAGAAAUUUAUUAAUCAGAUAAUAAGGUUAAAACAAAUACAUCAUAAUCGCCGAGGGCUAAAUUAUUAUCUAUUAAGGUUUCUUUGGAAUGAGAAAAUGAUAGAAGCAGAGGACCUCGACUAGUCUAUACUUUUUAGUUGAUCUAUACAAGGUGUUCAGCUAUAGGUGUCAGGAAAUUUAAGGAGUGAUUCUUGAAGCCAAAAUGAGACGAAAAUCAGGAAUAAAAGAAUUGCGUUUAUGGCUAGUUAUUGACGAUUAAAAAAUCCGCCAAAAUACCCCUGCACGCGAGCAAACCUCCAUUCACAAAGAAAGGAAAGUCAGCCUAAGCAACGGGGCGCACAGUGAUACUCAAUCCGGUCAGCUUACCUCGUACAAGUCAUAGAGAAGACUAUGGUAUUCAGAGACGUAAGCUGCGAUAGUCCCGUCCGCACGUGUCCAUAACAGAAUCGUAACAGAAGCACAUAGACGACAUUUGUACAAGCAGAGAAUCGAGGCUAGACUUGGUGAACCAGGAACCGGAUAGAACAAUACGGCGGUCCACAAGCGGCUAACAAUAAAUCGAGAAGAAUUGCGAAGGAAAGCCUGCCGCUCGGAUAUCCGGGAUUUCGCUGUCCCGAAUAAGGGAAUUAAACUUUAUUGCCCGAUUUUUGCGUCUGUAUAAUCCGCUACUUUAUCUCACCGUUGUGUUUUAUUAAACGAUAAUUCCGUACGCGAUAUAUACGAUAUUCCGCGUGUUUAUAUUCACGUGUCAGCGGUCAUCCUGUCCGAGCACGAUGCAACGUUCGAACAGAAAAUUUGUUUGCCUUUCCUCUCUCUUUAAUCCUUUUUUUUUUGCUCGAAACUUUCAAAAUUGUUUCCAGAAGAAAAAUAGCAGUAAUAUAUUUGGUCGGAACAGAUCGCACCGGCUAAGUUAAAUCCUUCGCAAUUAGACGAGCGAAAAUGGUAAAAUCGAACCAGCCAGUUGAAAAACGAUAUAAAUACGAAAUUGGGCAUUUUUAAAAGUUGGAAGUAUAAAUGUGUGUGAUCGAGACAGUCCCUGCGGUUUAAUGAGAGUAAAAAUAGUAUAGAAAAUGCGAUUAAGUUGAUAAAGUACAUCUGAAGCGAAGCAUCGACAUUUUAUGAAGACUACUAAUUGUACUUGUCAAUAAGACGACUAAUUCUCUUAUACAUCACGCUGAAUUUACUUUGAUUAAAAAUUCUGUUGAGUCGAGGAACGGUGCAAGUCCAAUUAUUAAAUUCAUUUUAAUUAUAAAAGACUCAGGAACGAUGUUCAAGCACAGGUAGGCAGAUAUAUGGACGUUUAUCUCGCUUAGCAUGACCGUGUUUAAAUUGGAACAGCGCUAUAAAAUCAAUGACAUUGAUAAUACACAUACAGGCACAAAAAGAAAGAAACUAAAGCUAUUCUUUGAAAUAUCUCAAAAUGUAGUUUCCAGGGUGUAUUGUUCUUCGAUUCAUCGAUUCAAUUGUUUUCUGCAUUUCACAACUGCAGCUGCUACAAAAUUUACAGAGGCAGCUUUUUAAAUUGGAAUAUUUUGUAGCUAGAGGAAACCGGCUCGCGUUUUUCCAUGUUAUACCGACAAUUAAACGGCUCGAAACGAAUUGAAUUAAUUGAGACAGCUUGGAAAAAAGAAUGAUCGCCGUGCAUGGGAUGUGAAAAAAACCCGGACGCCGUAUCUUUCUGGUCGCGUAAAUAUUUAUACCCGGCGUUUGCAGUUGCAGUCACGUAACGACCGCGAUGCAAAAUGCAUAGGAAGUGCAGGUAUCAAAUGAGAAGAAACUUGCUAGAAUGGUGCACAACUCUCGUUCGCGUAAAAUGUUUGAUUCCGAAGAUGUUCAAAUCCUAUCGCGAAGAUUACACUUUGCUAAAAUGGGUAGGAAACGGAAAUCGAAAAAUUGGAACAUAAUCGAGGUUGCUUUGGUGGAAGGACUGGCUAUUUCUAAGACUACUCCGCACACGUUUCAUCUUCGCUUUUGAGAUCUUCCAUUUUUCUAUUCGUGUUAUUAUUCUUCGCGUUAAACAUGGAUUAGGAUAGUUCUUAAUUUAUUUAUUAUAGAAAUAUUUGUGCUUACAGAGUAUUGACAUUGAAUAAAAUUAUGGAACAAAGGAUCAAAAAAAUAAUUUUGUCGAUAAUGCAAAAGAGUGGAUUAACGACGAAAAAGGAAAUAUUGAUGGUUUAAAAUGUUGUAAAAAAAAUAUAUAUAUAUAAAAUACAAAGUUAUAUUGCAAUUAACGUCGAUGACUGAGCUCCCUGUUUUUCAAUAU